RNAcentral lists this ribosomal RNA (253 nucleotides) under uncultured bacterium. RNAcentral's name for it is "partial 16S ribosomal RNA". It matches the Rfam family "Bacterial small subunit ribosomal RNA", at positions 524 to 776 of the family's 1533-position model. The record is from RNAcentral.
UACGGAAGGUGCAAGCGUUGUCCGGAUUGACUGGGUGUAAAGGGCGCGUAGGCGGAGAGGUGUGUCGGGAGUGAAAUCGUGCGGCUUAACCGUACAAUGGCUUUCGAAACUACCUCCCUUGAGUACAGAAGGGGUUGAUGGAAUACCUGGUGUAGCGGUGGAAUGCGUAGAUAUCAGGUAGAACACCGGAGGCGAAGGCGGUCAACUGGUCUGUAACUGACGCUGAGGCGCGAAACUGUGGGGAGCAAACAGG